This 1292-nucleotide long non-coding RNA is filed under the name Capra hircus (goat). RNAcentral describes it as "lncRNA (ENSCHIG00010004603.1)". Lineage: Eukaryota; Metazoa; Chordata; Mammalia; Artiodactyla; Bovidae. The record is from RNAcentral.
CCAUGGUACCCAGCCCCAGCUCUGCAGAGGCUUUUGUUCAAUUAUUGAUGUCUGGGGAAGGAAGCCCGUGGGCUGGCUGGGCUAGGAUGGAAGACAUGAUCCAGGUGAAGCAGGAAAACCAUCAGGAAGGGAGAAGAGGGGGCCUAGUCAGGUCUGUCCAUGUUGAUCAACCUGAAAACAUGUCCAGGAGAGGUGAUUAAAUGAAAAAGCAGCUUACAGAACAGCUCCAAGGGUGAGAUCAUUAAACUAUAGCAUGUGUGUGUGAGAGACAGACAGAAAGAGAUUUCAGAGACUUUCACCCAAAAAGUGAAUGGGGGUUAUUUCUGAGUGUUAGGAUUAUGAAGAAUUUCUAUGUUCUUCAGGCUUUCUGGAUUUCUUUAUUAAUAAGUAAUUACUAUUUUCAGAACCUGAAACACCAGUUCCUGGAGGGGGAGCAGGGAGAGGAAGAAGAUGCAAACAAAGAUCAGAAAGGGAUGUCCAAGGCUGGUGUUCAUGUGAGCAGAGGAGAGAAUUCCAGAUUGAGGAACAAACAAAGACACCAGGUAGGUACCAUCCUUUCUUAUCCUUAUCUACCCAACCAGUGCUUUGGCAAAUUACCUCCUUAUGGCCAGUACAACUGCCUAAAAUCUUUUACUUACAGAUUAAUUCCUUUGAGUCACUCCUUAUCAUUUCAUUCAUUUUACAUGAUAAGUGAGCACUCAGAUAUACCAGAGAGAAUGCUAAUCUCUGCAAGUGGGACAUGAGAGAUUCAGUCUCUGACCCCAGGAAUUUCAAGUACAUUGUGGGAAGCAGCCAUAUUCACCUACAACACAGCAUAACAUGUGCUGUCAGAGAAUAGGCUUUGGAGCCCACAAUGAAGUGAAAGAUCUCUCAGCCUUGCUGUUAAAGUCCUUAAAAUAUUGGCCAUAUCAUCAGGAAGUCAACAGGGUUAUCACAGCACACAAAGCAACGCAAUUUCCUGGGUGCUGUUGUUACUUCAGUUAGAGGGUUUGAGGGUGAGUGGGCUGGAAUUCCAGCUGUUGGCUCUUUUUUGCAUUUCUAUUCUCCAGGGAUGCCUGGUUACAAUUCCCAGGCCAAAGCCCUCUGACCGAACAAAUGGUCAGAGUCUACUUGGAUAGGCUAGUUACGUUUUAAUGAGGGUACUCAGCUGCAUGAAUUUAGGAACUGGAACUGAAUGGCUUGGGACAAGUGUAGCCUCAGCAGGGAGGUUGAGAGGAGACUGACCUGGGCAGGGUGUUCAUCAGUUCAGUUCAGUUGCUCAGUCGUGUCUGACUUUUUGAGACCCCAUGAAU